RNAcentral lists this ribosomal RNA (496 nucleotides) under uncultured bacterium. RNAcentral's name for it is "partial 16S ribosomal RNA". It matches the Rfam family "Bacterial small subunit ribosomal RNA", at positions 28 to 523 of the family's 1533-position model. The record is from RNAcentral.
GAUGAACGCUAGCGGCAGGCCUAAUACAUGCAAGUCGAGGGGUAGAAGAGGCUUGCUUCUUUGAGACCGGCGCACGGGUGCGUAACGCGUAUGCAACCUACCUUCAUCUGGGAGAUAGCCCGGAGAAAUCCGGAUUAAUACCGCAUAAAAUCACAGGAUGGCAUUAUCCAAUGAUCAAACAUUUAUGGGAUGGAGAUGGGCAUGCGUGUCAUUAGCUAGUUGGCGGGGUAACGGCCCACCAAGGCGACGAUGACUAGGGGAUCUGAGAGGAUGGCCCCCCACACUGGUACUGAGACACGGACCAGACUCCUACGGGAAGCAGCAGUAAGGAAUAUUGGUCAAUGGAGGCAACUCUGAACCAGCCAUGCCGCGUGCAGGAAGACUGCCCUAUGGGUUGUAAACUGCUUUUAUUCGGGAAUAAACCUUAUUACGUGUAAUAAGCUGAAUGUACCGAAGGAAUAAGGAUCGGCUAACUCCGUGCCAGCCGCCGCCGUAA